This 121-nucleotide ribosomal RNA is filed under the name uncultured archaeon. RNAcentral describes it as "partial 16S ribosomal RNA". It matches the Rfam family "Archaeal small subunit ribosomal RNA", at positions 341 to 471 of the family's 1478-position model. The record is from RNAcentral.
GCGGCAUCUGCACGUAGCGUGAUAGGGGAUUCUACAGUGUCCAUACACAGUAUGGACUUUUGCCAAGAGUAAAGACCUUGGCGAAUAAGUGGUGGGCAAGACUGGUGCCAGCAGCCGCGGU